Molecule: long non-coding RNA, 144 nt
Organism: Sebastes umbrosus (honeycomb rockfish)
Lineage: Eukaryota; Metazoa; Chordata; Actinopteri; Perciformes; Sebastidae
Exons: 3
Source: RefSeq, a predicted model, not a curated record
GUGGCAGAUUAUCUUGCUGAACAAAACGUGCAAGUAUAAUAAAUGUUUGUUUGCCACAGAGCUUAGUUUCUGCAAUAAUCAAAAACCCAAUGCGAAAAUCCCAUUGGCUUUUUUUCAAGGGAACCCGUUCGAUUCUAACUUCCU